This 234-nucleotide long non-coding RNA is filed under the name Lathyrus oleraceus (garden pea). RNAcentral's name for it is "Pisum sativum (pea) long non-coding RNA (PSAT_LNC015160)". The record is from RNAcentral. Lineage: Eukaryota; Viridiplantae; Streptophyta; Magnoliopsida; Fabales; Fabaceae.
GAUUUCAGGUCUACAAUGGUUUUCCCUAUUACGAAACCUAUCCGACCCAACCUUCCACAGUCCAAUUUACAUCAAUUAAUCGUCCUCAUUGUCAACACAAUUCAUAUCUUAUUUGAUUACACCAAACCUAACACGUUUACAUCAAAUUCCUACGAAUUCCCUCUCAAUUCUUCCCCAAUUUCAUUCAUCCCAAAAGUUCACAAUUUCAUCCUAAUCAUCCAAUUCAGAGGUAAU